CGGCCGGGCCCGGCGCGGCCGCCGCCUCCUCCCGCUUGCGAGGCGGGCUCCUCCGCUUCUUGCGGGCGCCGGCGCAAGCCGCGGCCCAGCCGUAGCCGAGCAGGAAGAGCAGCAGGAGCCCGAGCGCGCCCAUGCCCACCAGGAUCACCCAGCCCGGGUACCGUUUCGGCUCCAGCCCCAGGUCGAGGCCCAACUCGGUGCGCAGAAAGCCUAGGCCGACCGAGAGCAUUUCCUGCAGCCGGGCUGAGCCCUCCUCGGCCUGCUGGGCCAGCUCGUCCAGCCAGCUCCGUGUAGCCAUCUUCCCUCCCGUCAGGGGCACUCGCAGAAUGACGCCGGGGCGCAGAGACGCCGUGGAACAGUCAAGGGAAGCAAGUUUUUUGGCCGUGAGACAUGUGGGAUCUUAGCUCCCCGACCAGGGAUUGAACCCGCACCCCCUGCAUUGGAAGGUGAAGUCUUAACCACUGGACGGACAGGAGGAUGACAGAAGACAUGUGCAGCAGAGCCAACUCAGAUGAACCAUCCCAGUCAGACAGCCUUGCUGGUCCCAGACAACCCACAGAUGU
Long non-coding RNA from Lagenorhynchus albirostris (white-beaked dolphin), 563 nucleotides. RefSeq lists it as uncharacterized. Lineage: Eukaryota; Metazoa; Chordata; Mammalia; Artiodactyla; Delphinidae. The transcript has 3 exons. The record is from RefSeq and is a predicted model, not a curated record.